CCUACGGGCGGCAGCAGUGGGGAAUAUUGGACAAUGGGCGCAAGCCUGAUCCAGCAAUGCCGCGUGUGUGAAGAAGGCCUGCGGGUUGUAAAGCACUUUAAGCAGGAAAGAAGGGCGGAGCGAUAAUACCGUUUCGCAUUGACGUUACCUGCAGAAUAAGCACCGGCUAACUCCGUGCCAGCAGCCGCGGUAAUACGGAGGGUGCGAGCUUUGAUCGGAAUUACUGGAGGUGAAUUGAUCGUUGGCGGUUGGAAGCCCUGGGCUUAACCUGGGAACUGCGGUGGAUACUGUCGGGCUAGAGUGUGGUAGAGGGGAGUGGAAUUUCCGGUGUAGCAGUGAAAUGCGUAGAGAUCGGAAGGAACACCAGUGGCGAAGGCGGCUCCCUGGACCAACACUGACGCUGAGGUGCGAAAGCGUGGGGAGCAAACAGGAUUAGAUACCCGGGUAGUC
RNAcentral lists this ribosomal RNA (450 nucleotides) under uncultured bacterium. RNAcentral describes it as "partial 16S ribosomal RNA". It matches the Rfam family "Bacterial small subunit ribosomal RNA", at positions 338 to 795 of the family's 1533-position model. The record is from RNAcentral.